RNAcentral lists this ribosomal RNA (454 nucleotides) under uncultured bacterium. RNAcentral's name for it is "partial 16S ribosomal RNA". It matches the Rfam family "Bacterial small subunit ribosomal RNA", at positions 28 to 507 of the family's 1533-position model. The record is from RNAcentral.
GAUGAACGCUGACAGAAUGCUUAACACAUGCAAGUCAACUUGAACUUCGGUUUGGGUGGCGGACGGGUGAGUAACGCGUAAAGAACUUGCCUCACAGUUAGGGACAACAUUUGGAAACGAAUGCUAAUACCUGAUAUUAUGAUUUUAGGGCAUCCUAGAAUUAUGAAAGCUAUAUGCGCUGUGAGAGAGCUUUGCGUCCCAUUAGCUAGUUGGAGAGGUAACGGCUCACCAAGGCGAUGAUGGGUAGCCGGCCUGAGAGGGUGAACGGCCACAAGGGGACUGAGACACGGCCCUUACGCCUACGGGAGGCAGCAGUGGGGAAUAUUGGACAAUGGACCAAGAGUCUGAUCCAGCAAUUCUGUGUGCACGAUGAAGUUUUUCGGAAUGUAAAGUGCUUUCAGUUGGGAAGAAAAAAAUGACGGUACCAACAGAAGAAGUGACGGCUAAAUACGUG